GACGAACGCUGGCGGCGUGCUUAACACAUGCAAGUCGAACGGAAAGGCCCUGCGUUUGUGGGGUGCUCGAGUGGCGAACGGGUGAGUAACACGUGAGUAACCUGCCCUUGACUUUGGGAUAACUUCAGGAAAAUGGGGCUAAUACCGGAUAGGAGCUCCUGCUGCAUGGUGGGGGUUGGAAAGUUUCGGCGGUUGGGGAUGGACUAGCGGCUUAUCAGCUUGUUGGUGGGGUAGUGGCUUACCAAGGCUUUGACGGGUAGCCGGCCUGAGAGGGUGACCGGCCACAUUGGGACUGAGGUACGGCCCAGACUCCUACGGGACGCAGCAGUGGGGAAUAUUGCAGAAUGGGCGGAAGCCUGAUGCAGCAACGCCGCGUGCGGGAUGACGGCCUUCGGGUUGUAAACCGCUGUCGCCUGUGACGAAGCGUGAGUGACGGUAAUGGGUAAAGAAGCACCGGCUAACUACGUG
RNAcentral lists this ribosomal RNA (468 nucleotides) under uncultured bacterium. RNAcentral describes it as "partial 16S ribosomal RNA". It matches the Rfam family "Bacterial small subunit ribosomal RNA", at positions 28 to 507 of the family's 1533-position model. The record is from RNAcentral.